RNAcentral lists this ribosomal RNA (274 nucleotides) under uncultured bacterium. RNAcentral's name for it is "partial 16S ribosomal RNA". It matches the Rfam family "Bacterial small subunit ribosomal RNA", at positions 523 to 796 of the family's 1533-position model. The record is from RNAcentral.
AUACGGGGGGUGCAAGCGUUACUCGGAAUCACUGGGCGUAAAGCGCGCGCAGGCGGUCUUUUAAGUUGGAUGUGAAAGCCUACGGCUCAACCGUAGAACUGCAUCCAAAACUAUUAGACUAGAGUGUGGGAGAGGAAGAUGGAAUUAGUUGUGUAGGGGUAAAAUCCGUAGAGAUAACUAGGAAUACCAAAAGCGAAGGCAAUCUUCUGGAACACUACUGACGCUGAGGCGCGAAAGCGUGGGGAGCAAACAGGAUUAGAUACCCUAGUAGUCC